Molecule: long non-coding RNA, 542 nt
Organism: Betta splendens (Siamese fighting fish)
Lineage: Eukaryota; Metazoa; Chordata; Actinopteri; Anabantiformes; Osphronemidae
Exons: 3
Source: RefSeq, a predicted model, not a curated record
AGAGACUAAACGAAAGCACUUUUUUGGUGAUCGCGGAGCCAAAAACACUUGGAGAGAUUAUAAAGCCUGCGGUAUUCUGCUAAUUGUGAAAAACAGCCUCUUUGUUCACUCAGGAGGGAAAAAGCUGCCUUCUCUGGAGCCCCUUCGCCUUCGAUCUCGAAGCCUGAUGCGCCACUGCAGCGCAAUGGAUCCAAUUCAAGCUGAAAGCCGGCCUCCAACCGCACGCUGUCGUUUCUCAUCCAAGCCGGAAAACAAGCCUAUAGCUCACAUGCACGGAGCUCUGGCACCGAUCCAGUCGCUCCUGCUGCUUGUCAACUUGUAUUUAUCGUCGUGGGACCUGAGAACUUCGCGGCCAGCAGUCGCUGUUCUCUCUUGGGGCAAAGAGCGAUGGAUCUUGUUCAACCUGCAGGAGCUGUCAGGACACACGCACGCUGGCAUUUAGUUACAGCACCUACAGUUGGGCUGACGUACUGUAUGUUUGUGGCUUGGGACGCGUUGGGGCAGUUUCCCUCUAGUUCAGAAUUGUCUCCAAUACACUUAUU